Molecule: long non-coding RNA, 255 nt
Filed under: Homo sapiens (human)
Lineage: Eukaryota; Metazoa; Chordata; Mammalia; Primates; Hominidae
Description: non-protein coding lnc-EOMES-4:1
Source: RNAcentral
CUACCCCUUGCAAAGGAUCUUCUUCAUCCCUCUCCAGAAAAGGAGAAGAGGAAACACAAGAAGAAAUGCGUGGUGCAGAGCCUCAAUUCCUACUUCAUGGAUGUGAAAUGCCCAGGAUGCUAUAAAAUCACUACAGGUCUUUAGCGAUGCACAAAUUGUAGCUUUGUGUGUUGGCUGCUCCAUUGUCCUCUGCCAGCCUACGGAGUAAAAGCAAGGCUUACAGAAGGAUGUUCCUUCAGAAGGAAACAGCACUAA